UAAAGGAAUUGGCGGGGGAGCACUACAAGGGGUGGAGCGUGCGGUUUAAUUGGAUUCAACGCCGGGAACCUCACCGGGGGCGACGGCAGGAUGAAGGCCAGGCUGAAGGUCUUGCCGGACACGCCGAGAGGAGGUGCAUGGCCGCCGUCAGCUCGUACCGUGAGGCGUCCACUUAAGUGUGGUAACGAGCGAGACCCGCGCCCCCAGUUGCCAGUCCUUCCCGCUGGGAAGGAGGCACUCUGGGGGGACCGCCGGCGAUAAGCCGGAGGAAGGAGCGGGCGACGGUAGGUCAGUAUGCCCCGAAACCCCCGGGCUACACGCGCGCUACAAUGAGCGGGACAAUGGGAUCCGACCCCGAAAGGGGAGGGGAAUCCCCUAAACCCGCUCCCAGUUCGGAUCGCGGGCUGCAACUCGCCCGCGUGAAGCUGGAAUCCCUAGUACCCGCGUGUCAUCAUCGCGCGGCGAAUACGUCCCUGCUCCUUGCACACACCGCCA
RNAcentral lists this ribosomal RNA (495 nucleotides) under uncultured archaeon. RNAcentral's name for it is "bacterial SSU rRNA". It matches the Rfam family "Archaeal small subunit ribosomal RNA", at positions 857 to 1351 of the family's 1478-position model. The record is from RNAcentral.